RNAcentral lists this long non-coding RNA (590 nucleotides) under Salmo salar (Atlantic salmon). RNAcentral describes it as "lncRNA (ENSSSAG00000099142.1)". Lineage: Eukaryota; Metazoa; Chordata; Actinopteri; Salmoniformes; Salmonidae. The record is from RNAcentral.
UGUGUGUGUGGGGGGGUGUGUGGUAGAAGGCUGUGUAUGGGGUGGGUGGUAGAAGGUGGGAUGUGUGGUAGAAGGCAGUAUUUGGGGUGUGUGGUAGAAGGCUGUGUGUGGGGAUGUGGGGUGUGUGGUAGAAGGCUGUGUAUGUGGGGUGUGUGGUAGAAGGCUGUGUGUGUGGGGAUGUGGGGUGUGGUAUAAGGCUGUGUGUGGGGUGUGUGGUAGAAGGCUGUGUGUGGGGUGUGUGGUAGAAGGCUGUGUAUGUGGGGUGUGUGGUAGAAGGCUGUGUGUGUGUGGAGGAACAAAGGAACAUGGAGGAACAAAGUGUUACACAACACACAUUUGUCUGUUCUUGCUCAUUUGGCUAGCUAAGAUACUAACCUGCCAAUACCUGAACACACUUUCUAUGUAUUCAGCAUCCAUUUACUGAUCUGAUUAAAACACAAUGUCUAUGUAUUCAUCAUCAUUAAAACAUCUUAUUAAAACACACAGUCCUUUCAGUGCUCCUAUGUAUGACUAACAGUAGGCUUAACAGUCAUUCCAUUGAUUUAAUCAUACACUCCUCCUCAUGGGGACAUGGGAAAUGACCCCACGAG